AGAGGAAGCUGCAUUAAAAGCUGCAGCAGCUGAGUGACCUACUCUAAAUGAGCCUCGGUGAAGAAAAGAAACAAGGGAAACAGCUUCAAUUGAGAAAAAACAGGAAGUUGGGCCAGAGGCUGGGGCAGCAGGGAGCUAAAUGCCGAAGAAAAGGCAGUACCCUCGGAGCUCAGAAGGACCAGCUUGAUUCUCCCAGAGGUGGGAAGAACAGAUGCCUUCACCAGGAUGAGCUGGGCAGAAUGCCGCACUCACUAUCAGAGCUCUGGGUAGGUGAGCGGGAGGGUUUGGGUGCUGGGGGAGUUUGUAGGGAAGAAGUGAAAAAGUGA
Vombatus ursinus (common wombat) is the source of this 326-nucleotide long non-coding RNA. NCBI's taxonomy places the organism in Eukaryota, Metazoa, Chordata, Mammalia, Diprotodontia, Vombatidae. The record is from Ensembl.